CUUCGGGAUAGAAAUUAUCCACACGAGUGGAGGAGGGGGAAUACAGACUCGCUGACAACCAAUGAGAACACGCCGAUACACACGGGCGAUCUCAUUGGUUCCCUGAAUCACUGGAAGCCAAUGGGAGCGCGUCUCUACACACCGGACGUGGUAUAUAACACAUCCGGGGGACAUUUUCUGCGGUAGCACGUAUUUUCUUUAGAAGAAUGCAUUCCGUGGUUAAACAGUUCAUUUGUGAACGGUUUGCUUUUAAAAUGGCUUUUAAGUUUUUCACGCGUAAGAUUUGUUAUUCUCACUGUGAUACGUGAUUGGACGUCGCAGAAAUGCUAUUUCUAAUUUCAAGAAGCACGUGGGAGUUGUGUCCCUAGGCCGCAACUGCAGGAUAUGUAAUGACUGGUGAUACCCUCUGAUCGAUGCGGCGUUUGAGGCUCACGAACACGUGGCAUGCAGUUAAUAGAGUAAGUACCACCAAAGAACUUUAACCUAUUUUACAUGGUUCACGAAUGAUGAUGUAUUUUGUGCGUUAGACUUCUGAAAGUUUAAUGAAGUCACCUUUUAUUUCUGACUCGAGCCAACAAAUAAGCUGAAGAUGUUAUGCGUUUUAAUACUUAUUCUAAUUCAUGCCCUUUAUCUCCCUCUGUGCUUCCAGUGUCUGGACGUGAUCUGCUUAUCAGAAAAGUACGUGUAUGGGUUUAUUCACAUACUUUUAAUGGUUAUGAGUGAUGAUUUUGACGCGUUAGACUUCUGAUUGCAAUUUGAAGACAAUCAAAUUCUACACUUGAUCUGACAUAACUCUGGCAUAUAAACAUGUUUUUAGUGUUGCAGUAACAAAGCCUAAAGGUUGUCUCUUGUUGCAGAGAUUGGACUGCAGUGCCCAAGGAAAAAGCGAGGCGUGAUGCUUAAAGCUGGAACAUGAAUAAAACACCUUUUUUCAAACUGAA
Molecule: long non-coding RNA, 941 nt
Organism: Betta splendens (Siamese fighting fish)
Lineage: Eukaryota; Metazoa; Chordata; Actinopteri; Anabantiformes; Osphronemidae
Exons: 2
Source: RefSeq, a predicted model, not a curated record